RNA transcript from Nomascus leucogenys (northern white-cheeked gibbon), 1239 nucleotides. It is a transcript of the gene named small integral membrane protein 11A, with no coding region annotated. The transcript is spliced from 7 exons. The record is from RefSeq and is a predicted model, not a curated record. NCBI's taxonomy places the organism in Eukaryota, Metazoa, Chordata, Mammalia, Primates, Hylobatidae.
GGACGUGUAGUUUUCCCCGGCAGGACGGUAGAAAUCGUGGUUUGUGCGGGCCAAGCGCUGGAGCCUCCGCUGCCGGGAGCAAUCAGACCUUCCAGCUCCCUGGACCUGACCUUCCAGCUGCCUCUCAUGUACUCGUCGGGGGCUUGUGUUGAUAAGGAGUGAAUUCACAGUCUACCAUGAAUUGGAAGGUUCUUGAGCACAUGCCCCUGCUGCUAUAUAUCCUGGCAGCAAAAACAUUAAUUCUCUGCCUGGCAUUUGCUGGAGUGAAAAUAUACCAAAGAAAAAGGUUGGAAGCAAAACAACAAAAACUGGAGGCUGAAAGGAAGAAGCAAUCAGAGAAAAAAGAUAACUGAAGAUUCUGCCAUGUAAAUGUCAGCUUGAGUGGACUCCAGCUGAGAAGAAAGAGAAAAAAGACUUAAUUAUUGAAUAAUUUGUCAGAGGAUAAACUCCCAACCUAGACCUUUCACUUAAAAUAGUGUGAAUUUGUAUAUAUUUUUAAAAGAACCAGUACUGGCCCGGUAUGCUGGCUCUUACCUGAAAUCCCAGCACUUUGGGAGGCCGAGCCUCUGCCAAGCCAAGCAGCCAGCUCCUAGGACUCCCCUCCCUCCACCUGAGGCUCCUUGUCCUCCCUUCCUCGGGAGUCUCCAGCCUCCCGGGGCUUCCCCUCCCUGCUGCCCGCUCCAGCAGAGGCUGCCAACCGCCUGGGAGAGAGAAGUGGGCUUCCUGGGGCCACCUCCCCAACUUUGGAGUGUUCGGAAGGUGAUGGAGUGACCACCAGGGGGCAGUGUGAACAGGUCUCCAUAAGACUGAUCAGCUCCUGGUUUGUUAAGGCAAACCCCCAUCUCUGGCUUCUCCUGGGACCUCACCUGGGAAAGAAGGAGGCAGCCCCAGAGCUGGAAGCUGCUUCAGGGCUCACCCGGAACAGCAGACUCAACCUGGGCCCAUCCAGGCAUCUCCUGGGAGCUUCACACAAUUGCUUCUGCCUGGCACCAGCUCAGAGGUUCUGACAGAAUUGGCCUGGGGUGAGGCCUGGCAUCCAUGGGAUUUUUACAAGCUUCCAGGUGAUUCUACAGGGAAGCCAAGGAGAUGCGUCCUUCAUAAAACUCUCAUCAACACUGUUCAGACGUGUCCCACCCCAGCAGGGGACAGCCUAGGCUCAAGCUGGGAUCCCUACUUUAUUUAUUUUCUGCUAAUUAAACUUCCUAAUAUACUCCACACUAAGUGUGUUUGCAAGGCAGG